RNAcentral lists this ribosomal RNA (691 nucleotides) under uncultured bacterium. RNAcentral's name for it is "bacterial SSU rRNA". It matches the Rfam family "Bacterial small subunit ribosomal RNA", at positions 8 to 683 of the family's 1533-position model. The record is from RNAcentral.
AGAGUUUGAUCAUGGCUCAGGAUGAACGCUGGCGGCAUGCCUAAUACAUGCAAGUCGAACGAGAGGAAGGAAAGCUUGCUUUUCUGAAUCUAGUGGCGAACGGGUGAGUAACACGUAGGUAACCUGCCCAUGUGCCCGGGAUAACUUCUGGAAACGGAUGCUAAAACCGGAUAGGUAGCAGACAAGCAUUUGACUGCUAUUAAAGUGGCUAUGGCCAUGAACAUGGAUGGACCUGCGGUGCAUUAGCUAGUUGGUGAGGUAACGGCCUACCAAGGCGACGAUGCAUAGCCGGCCUGAGAGGGCGGACGGCCACAUUGGGACUGAGACACGGCCCAAACUCCUACGGGAGGCAGCAGUAGGGAAUUUUCGUCAAUGGGGGGAACCCUGAACGAGCAAUGCCGCGUGAGUGAGGAAGGUCUUCGGAUCGUAAAGCUCUGUUGUAAGAGAAAAACGGCACUCAUAGGGAAUGAUGAGUGAGUGAUGGUAUCUUACCAGAAAGUCACGGCUAACUACGUGCCAGCAGCCGCGGUAAUACGUAGGUGGCGAGCGUUAUCCGGAAUGAUUGGGCGUAAAGGGUGCGUAGGUGGCAGAUCAAGUCUGGAGUAAAAGGUAUGGGCUCAACCCGUACUGGCUCUGGAAACUGAUCAGCUAGAGAACAGAAGAGGACGGCGGAACUCCAUGUGUAGCGGUG